This 85-nucleotide transfer RNA is filed under the name Felis catus (domestic cat). It matches the Rfam family "tRNA". Rfam says of the family: Transfer RNA (tRNA) molecules are approximately 80 nucleotides in length. Their secondary structure includes four short double-helical elements and three loops (D, anti-codon, and T loops). Further hydrogen bonds mediate the characteristic L-shaped molecular structure. tRNAs have two regions of fundamental functional importance: the anti-codon, which is responsible for specific mRNA codon recognition, and the 3' end, to which the tRNAs corresponding amino acid is attached (by aminoacyl-tRNA synthetases). tRNAs cope with the degeneracy of the genetic code in two manners: having more than one tRNA (with a specific anti-codon) for a particular amino acid; and 'wobble' base-pairing, i.e. permitting non-standard base-pairing at the 3rd anti-codon position. Lineage: Eukaryota; Metazoa; Chordata; Mammalia; Carnivora; Felidae. The record is from Rfam by way of RNAcentral.
GCCUGGGUGGCUCAGUCGGUUGAGUGUCUGACUUCGGCUCAGGUCAUGAUCUCGCGGUCCGUGGGUUCAAGCCCUGCAUCGGGCU